This 255-nucleotide ribosomal RNA is filed under the name uncultured bacterium. Its description in RNAcentral is "partial 16S ribosomal RNA". It matches the Rfam family "Bacterial small subunit ribosomal RNA", at positions 524 to 776 of the family's 1533-position model. The record is from RNAcentral.
GACAGAGGGUGCAAACGUUGUUCGGAAUUACUGGGCGUAAAGCGCGUGUAGGCGGCUAAGUAAGUCGGGCGUGAAAUCCCACGGCUCAACCGUGGAAGUGCACUCGAAACUGCGUAGCUAGAGUCCUGGAGAGGAAGGUGGAAUGCUUGGUGUAGAGGUGAAAUUCGUAGAUAUCAAGCGGAACACCGGUGGCGAAGGCGGCCUUACUGGACAGUGACUGACGCUGAGACGGCGAAAGCGUGGGGAGCGAACAGG